UAGUCCUCUUAAUAUGCCUGAAUCAAGAUGUCUACCAAAAACAUAACCAAAUCUGCUCCAAAUGUUAGUUGGUUCUUCACUGGCCCAUAUCCCACCCUUCCAACAACUUUCAAGAAAUUUGGUUCAGUAGAUUUUGUAUUAUCCUGGAAAAGGGCAGAUAAACAGCAUUCAAAGCAAAACCUCCUUGGCAUAAACAAAACCAGUUAGAAAACUACUAAAUGAUUCUAAACCCUUGCACCAGGUGAAACUAUUUACUGAAAAAAGGGGGAAAAAAACGUUUGUAUUAAUUUGUCAUUGCAUUUGAAGAAGCUUCUGCACAUGUAUUGUACAUGUUUGUACCUUCUGUGCAUGCGCGUGUGUGCAAGCGGUGAAGUGGAUGCGGUGGUGAAGAAUUCACAAAAAGACUGAUGCAACAGCAACAUUAGUGGCUGGUUUUGUGUGAGGAAGGUCAGGGUGGAUGUGGGAUGCGGUUAGAGACGGGGCUCCACGCGUGGGGGGGGAUUGUAUAAGUGAAAGUUUGGGGUGUACACUGCAGCUGUGCGUUGGUGCUGCUGUCUUUUAGCCUGCGUGCACCGACCGUCAAGUGGCCAGGAAACGCCUACAGUUAGAGCUGUCUCAUUGACGGCCAACGAGUUUCCUGGAGGAGGGGCGGUGGAGGUGAGGGCUGUAUGUGUGUGUGUUUGAUGGAUUUUUUGCACAUGUGGGUUGGCAACCGCUGCACGGGGGAAGAGAGUGGGGGAAAACAGGCACCAGGAUGCUCUGGGAACCCCUGUACACCCUGUUUCGGGACCACACAACAGGAAGAGCUGCUUUCACAACUCCUGCUCUGGCUGUUUGUGUCUGCUCUGCUGUGCCAGGCUGCUCUGUCCCCUCCCUGCUUCGCUCCGAAACCACAGAGACCAUUAAAAACAGAGGCAGGGUUACAUGAAAUACAAAUAACAACUGGCACGUGCUAAGGUUUUUGGUCGCUUUCAGUAGCAACACAAAUAACAAACUCACAAUAGUCACCCUGGAGUCACAGUGUGAUGUGUUGAGGGGUAAACCAAUAACUGUUGACUAUUUGCAGCGGCAGCACCACAGUUUGUCUCAUAGAGCAGGAAAAGCACAGGUGUGCCUUUAAAAAUGGCUGCAUUCCAUUUAGGUGAGCCGGCUCGGUGUUGGCACCGUGCGACUCACUGUCAUCACAAACUGAGACACCUGAUGGACCUUAAAACAAUGUGGCAUCUGAAGUUCCCCAAAGUUGAUAGAGAAUCACAGAAAGGUUAAACUAAUUCAGCGUAUUUUUUAAAACCCUUGAAAAGUAAAACAGUUAAAUGAUUGUCUAGUGUACUUGUCAGUCACUAACUGACCUGUCUGCGCAGCCUGCCCAUGGUCUCAAGGUGAAGGAUCAGAGACUUCACAAGUUAGCAAACGAGUCACGGCAAAGACGUUUACUGGCAGUCAUCUGUCGCAAAUGUCUUUCGGGGGAGUAGCUAUGAAGAGAGGGUCGAUGGGACGUUUCUGUUUCAUAUGUUCAAAGUGUAGCUUGUUCUUGCUAGUUUUUCUAGGAUUACCCACCCUAGCUUUAAUGUUCUAGCUCAUUCUCAAUGCUCUCAUAGCUUCAUUUUAGGCUUUCAGCUGCUCGGCUGCAAACAGCAGACGGAAAAACUUCAAGAUUUCUCUCAGGAGCUGGUAGGGACCAAACAUGGAACUACAAUAGUCAUCUGUUCAGAAACAUGAAAGGUUUAUUUGCUCCAUAGCUGCUGGAUGUAAAAAUUGUUUGCACAAAUUCAUCAACUUAGAUGAUGAUAUGUCUCAUUCGACAGUUGUGCAGUGUGUAUUUAUUCAGAACAAACAGCCAGUGUACCGGCUCUGCAGGAAUCAGCUCAGGCUGGCAACACAUGCACCUACGCCCAUCAUGUGAUUUGAUCUGAGUCUGUGUUUGUGCUACAGGUCAGACUCAGAUAGAUCUGAAAACCUAACAGGAACACCUUUAAAAUAUUUGUUUCCUUUCUCCUCAUGCUUCAAUAAUCCGAGACAUGUAGUCGAGAGUGAAACCUAGUAAACGGCAGGAAUGCAGACUUGUCAUAGUAGGAAAAGCACAAGUGUUCACCAACAACAAUGGCUCUGUUCUAUUCAAGUGCUGCACAGUGAGAAAGACAGUGAGUCAUGAACAACUCCAGGGCCCUGAAACUGAAUCACUCAUUGUAUAAUUUAGAUCUGUGUUGUUACUACUGGGAACAUGACAACAUGUCGUCUGUGAAAAGAACAUGCUAAACCUCUCAUAUUUUCUCUGAUCUAAUCAAAUCUUCCAACUCUCCAUAUCCACCUUUACCUUCACAAGGGAGGAUAUGUGUCUGUUUGUCUGAAGGUUAGUAGGUUUAUGCAGAAACUACUGGAUGGAUUAACACACAACUUGGUGGGAGGUUCUGCUGUGGGUCAGGGAGGAAGGAUCCAUUACAUUUUAGGUUUAGAUCUGGAUAAUUUUCCUUGAUUUCCCAGAAAAGAAAUAUGGAUCUUGAGGAAAAAAAUAACCAAACAUGUGUAAGGGACAGUUAUUAUUGAGUAAAUGACAUCUGUAGCUGAGCCACACAAAAAUCUGGGGCUUUGGAAUUAUAAAAAUACAAUUUUUCACAUUUAUUCAUUACAAUUAAUAAACUCAUAAAUUAGAAUUGUAACUAUCCAUUUAGGGUAAGCAUCUUAGGAACCUCCUUUUAACACAUGUUAUCUCUUCAGAUCUAGACACCGAAAUCUACAAAACAUCACGUUUUUCUGCUUCAGGCCUUUGGAGGAAAUUGCCUGUUUUUUUAAACUGCACUUUUUAACAGUCAGACUGCAGUGACGCAUUAGAGAGGCCAAAAUGAAACUUUAACCUUAACAGCAGUUGAGCGUGCUGGGGUGAUAUAUCCUCUCUGUCCCGAUAGAGGAGGUCAAACGGGGUGAAGCAGGUCAGGCUGGGACUCAGAGAUAAUGACCUCGCCUCCGCCCCUUUUCCCCUCCAACACUCUGCCCCACUCAACAUCACACCCACGUGUACAAAUAUGCAACAAGCUCAAUUUCAGCCAUGACGUACAGAAACGUGCACGUGAGGAGUGGUACUGAUGGUCUUAGUGCAGCUUUGGCUUGUGGAAAGUAAGGACAGCGCUUUGUAAUAAACAGGUUUGAAGCUGACUGCAGACUGUAUAUAAAACAGAUUUUACGGCUUCGUUUGUCUUUUCUAACGUGGUUUUCUUGCUGAACUUCCGUCUGCCCACUUCAGUAACCGCUGAUCCAGCAGCUGCACCGAGAGCUCCGCCGAGGAGACCCCACAGAAACAAGCCCAGCAGGAGACCCAGCAUUGCGCCCGCAUAAACAACCUUGGGCACCUGUUUAACAGUGGUCCAGGCUUUCUCCCACAUUGGGCUCUCAGCCACCAUUUUGGCCCCUGCCUUAGCCCCUGAGCCCAUCUUCUUCCACGCCGGACUCUGCGCCACUUUCUUUGCACCAGCACCGAUUCCAGCUCCGACUCGUAAAGAGCUGUCAGCUAUCAGUUUAGCUCCGCUCUUGGCCCCAGAUCCUACUUUUCCCCACACAGGACUCUUUGCCAAAUUCUUGGCCCCAGAUCCGAUCCCGGACCCUACAACCAUGGAUCUGUCCGCCACUAGUUUGGCCCCGGAACCAACUUUCCCCCACAUGGGACUUGCUGCUGCUGCUUUUGCUCCAGAUCCCACCCACGCAGAACUAUCCACUACCACUUUGGGAACUCUAUCUCCUACUAGUUUGGAUGCAUGUUGGGCGCUAGCUCCCACCUUUCCCCAAACUGAACUAUCAGCCAUCAUCUUCUGAACGUUUUGUGCUCUGCUGCCAACCGUCCCCCACACUGGGCUACUUUUCACCUUCUUAGCUCCCUCACCAACCCACAUGGAGCUGUCUGACAACAGCUGGGGUAACAUUUUUGCACUAGACUCCAUUUUUUCCAUAAUGGAACGAAGGAGUGAAGGGGACAAGCCUGAAAGCGUAAUAGGAGGAAGGCUCUCGAUGUCCAUGGUGCUUACACUCAUCUCUGCCUCAUGCCGUGUUUUCUCUAUCUCAUCUUCUCUCACUUCCUCUUCUGCCUCGGCCACAGACUGCAUGUAGGGAUAGAUCAACCGCCUCUCAGAGUUAAGCUGUGCAACCUCGCUUGAUUUUUCCGGCUCCAGCUUUUUGCCUCUUUUCUCUCUAGCUAACUCUACCUGUCUCUGUCUCACUCGGUUCUCAGCCUCCUGAAAAGCGGGACAAGAGUAACACUGUCCUCCGGCCUCCCUCACCGUCUGCUCCACCUUCUCUAGCAGCUCCGCCACGUUCCCCUUCUCCACCUGACCCCCUCCGCUCUCUAGAACAUGAAACCUGUCACAGCAUUUCUCCACAAGGUUUAAAAAAUCCCCUCGCUGACUGGCAAUAUAUUCCUCUAUGCUGUUGUUUCCUGCCUUCCCGCUCUCCCUCAGUCGAUCUGUGUAAGUGAAAAGGACCAGAGUGUGUUUCUGGAUCGCGUCCGGGCCGAAAACAACUUCGAGGGCCUUGAGGGCCUGGAGCUCGGUCUUUGCGGGCUGGUCCAAGGGGACGCACAGGAGGAAGGCGUGGGGGCCGGGACUGGACAAAGCAACACAGGAGGAGAUCUGAGCUCGCACCUCAUCAGGAGUUCGCUCUGAAGUGAACCAGUCUGGGGUAUCCACCACUGCCACCUGCAGGUGAUAGAGAGGAGACACAUACAGCAAUAUAAGAACACAGGCAGAUCAUGGGAGACUUCGACUGUUCUAUGACAAAAUGAUUGUGUCACAUUAAAGUAAUUUGGGAUUUUGGCACUUGGUGGGAUAAGAGAAAGGAAAUUGAAAAUGAGGGUGAGCCAAACAGCAAUAACAAUCACUAACCCUUCGUCCUUCAACCAGCGCCUUCUUUUUCUCACACUGCUGAGUGACAGACGUGAGGCUGUCCGGGUCCGACUUGAACUCUUCUCCCCUGAGGAUGCUGUUGCCGGCUGCACUCUUCCCUGAUCCGGAGCGCCCGAGAAGCACCAGACGCAGCUCCGGAGAGGAUGAGGAGGAUGAGGGGUACGAGGUGGAAGAGGCUGAGGCAAAAGUUGAUGAGGAGGUUGAAUAAGAUGAGGGCAAUGUGGAAGAGGUGGAGGAUGAGGGGACUGUGGAGGAUGAGGAAGAUGAAGGGACUGAAGAGGAUGAUGUGCGAGAGGCAGAAGCUAAAGUUGAUGGGGAGGUUGAAUAAGAUGAGGGGAAUGUGGAAGAAGUGGAGGAUGAUGGGACUGUGGAGGAUGAGGAAGAUGAGGGGAAUGAAGAGGAUGAUGUGCGAGAGGCAGAAGCAAAAGUGGAUGAGGAGGUUGAAUAAGAUGAGGGGAAUGUGGAAGAAGUGGAGGAUGAGGGGACUGUGGAGGAUGAGGAAGAUGAGGGGACUGAAGAGGAUGAUUUGUGGGAGGUGGAGGCCAAAGUUGAAGAUGAGGUUGAAUAAGAUGAGGGGAAUGUGGAGGAUGAGGCGAAGGAAGAGGAUGAGGAGGAUGAGGGGAAUGAAUAGGAUGACGUGGGAGAGGUGGAGGCAAAAGUAGAUGAGGAGGGGGAGGAGGAUGAGGGGAAUGUGGAAGAGGAGGCAGCAAAGGUUGGCGAGGAAGGGGAGGAGGAGAAGACGGGUGAAUAGGGAGAGGAAGUUGGAGGCGCCUCGGGGAAUCUCUCUUCAAAGCUGUUGAUUCUGUGAUGAACUGAAAAAAAAAUCCAGAAUUUAGUAAAGAAUUAAAAAAAGUAAAUUAUAAUGAGACAUGGAUCAAUAUAUACGUGAACUGUUAAAUGAUAUUAUAAAAGCCAACGAAGUCCUGUGA
This is a long non-coding RNA of Pleuronectes platessa (European plaice), 5815 nucleotides long. RefSeq lists it as uncharacterized. Lineage: Eukaryota; Metazoa; Chordata; Actinopteri; Pleuronectiformes; Pleuronectidae. The transcript has 3 exons. The record is from RefSeq and is a predicted model, not a curated record.